Molecule: small nucleolar RNA, 82 nt
Organism: Arabidopsis thaliana (thale cress)
Lineage: Eukaryota; Viridiplantae; Streptophyta; Magnoliopsida; Brassicales; Brassicaceae
Rfam family: Small nucleolar RNA R21
About the family: snoR21 is a member of the C/D class of snoRNA which contain the C (UGAUGA) and D (CUGA) box motifs. Most of the members of the box C/D family function in directing site-specific 2'-O-methylation of substrate RNAs.
Source: Rfam
GUGCCCUUCGAUGAUUAAUAAUAUAUUAAUGGUUAAAAGUAGUCUGAUAUCUUAUUGAUGAAUAUUUCAAAUCCGAGGGCUU